AGGAAGGUGGGGAUGACGUCAAGUCAUCAUGGCCCUUACGGCCAGGGCUACACACGUGCUACAAUGGCGCGUACAGAGGGCUGCAAGCUAGCGAUAGUGAGCGAAUCCCAAAAAGCGCGUCGUAGUCCGGAUCGGAGUCUGCAACUCGACUCCGUGAAGUCGGAAUCGCUAGUAAUCGCAAAUCAGAAUGUUGCGGUGAAUACGUUCCCGGGCCUUGUACACACCGCCCGUCACACCAUGGGAGUGGGUUGCACCAGAAGUAGAUAGCUUAACCUUCGGGAGGGCGUUUACCACGGUGUGAUUCAUGACUGGGGUGAAGUCGUAACA
This 327-nucleotide ribosomal RNA is filed under the name uncultured bacterium. RNAcentral's name for it is "bacterial SSU rRNA". It matches the Rfam family "Bacterial small subunit ribosomal RNA", at positions 1167 to 1493 of the family's 1533-position model. The record is from RNAcentral.